GAGUUUGAUCCUGGCUCAGAACGAACGCUGGCGGCAGGCUUAACACAUGCAAGUUGAACGCCCCGCAAGGGGAGUAGGCGCACGGGUUGAGUAAUACUUGGGAACGUGCCUUUCAGUCUGGGAUAACGUCGGGAAACUGACGCUAAAACCGGAUAUUCUCUCCGGAGGAAAGUUUACGCUGAAAGAUCGGCCCAAGCCAGAUUAGCUAGUUGGUGAGGUAAUGGCUCACCAAGGCAACGAUCUGUAGCUGGUCUGAGAGGACGACCAGCCACACUGGUACUGAGACACGGACCAGACUCCUACGGGACGGCAGCAGUGGGGAAUAUUGGACAAUGGGCGAAAGCCUGAUCCAGCCAUGCCGCGUGAGUGAUGAAGGCCUUAGGGUUGUAAAGCUCUUUUGUGAGGGAAGAUGAUGACGGUACCUCAAGAAUAAGCACCGGCUAACUUCGUGCCAGCAGCCGCGGU
Molecule: ribosomal RNA, 465 nt
Filed under: uncultured Alphaproteobacteria bacterium
Lineage: Bacteria; Pseudomonadati; Pseudomonadota; Alphaproteobacteria
Description: bacterial SSU rRNA
Rfam family: Bacterial small subunit ribosomal RNA
Source: RNAcentral